This is a long non-coding RNA of Cyprinus carpio carpio, 460 nucleotides long. The record is from Ensembl. Lineage: Eukaryota; Metazoa; Chordata; Actinopteri; Cypriniformes; Cyprinidae.
AAGACGCUUGAUGAGAGCCAGAACACAGACGAUCUGAAGCAGCGUCACACUCUUCUGCUGGAGACUGGACUUUAGAGAAAUGAUGCUGAUCUUUGGACUGAUGCUGCUGCUGCAAACUGCUGCAUGUCUGUUGUGCUGAAAAGUUCGAGAAAGGAUUCAUCAAAUGAUGUGAAUCCAUUAAAUGUGAUGUCAGAAAGAUCAAGACAUUAUUUAUAAAGAGAGAAAUGCUGCAGGUUAAUGGAACUGGACAGAAAGUGCAGGACAAAGACAAUUUAUGCUUUAUCAGAAUAAAACAUCUCAACAUGCAAAAAGUGUUUGUAGACAGUGAAAGUAAAUUUGAAUAAAAUCAACAUUUAGAUUUGCUUUUUGACUGAAGAAAAAAAAACAGUUGAUAUUCCAGUGUUAAACAGACAUUUAAAAAUAAUAGGAAUGUGUUAUUUUGUUGUUUUUGUGUGUGUGU